AUUGAACGCUGGCGGCAGGCCUAACACAUGCAAGUCGAGCGGAUGAAGGGAGCUUGCGCCUGGAUUCAGCGGCGGACGGGUGAGUAAUGCCUAGGAAUCUGCCUGGCAGUGGGGGAUAACGUCCGGAAACGGGCGCUAAUACCGCAUACGUCCUGAGGGAGAAAGUGGGGGAUCUUCGGACCUCACGCUAUCAGAUGAGCCUAGGUCGGAUUAGCUAGUUGGUGAGGUAAAGGCCUACCAAGGCGACGAUCCGUAACUGGUCUGAGAGGAUGAUCAGUCACACUGGAACUGAGACACGGUCCAGACUCCUACGGGAGGCAGCAGUAGGGAAUAUUGGGCAAUGGGCGAAAGCCUGAUCCAGCCAUGCCGCGUGUGUGAAGAAGGUCUUCGGAUUGUAAAGCACUUUAAGUUGGGAGGAAGGACAGUAAGUUAAUCCCUUGCUGUUUUGACGUUACCAACAGAGUAAGCACCGGCUAACUUCGUG
This 484-nucleotide ribosomal RNA is filed under the name uncultured bacterium. RNAcentral's name for it is "partial 16S ribosomal RNA". It matches the Rfam family "Bacterial small subunit ribosomal RNA", at positions 30 to 507 of the family's 1533-position model. The record is from RNAcentral.